GGUCUUUCCCCAUGCUGUUCUCAUGACAGUGAAUAAGUCUUAUGAGAUCUGAUGGUUUUAUAAAGGGAAAAACCCUUUCGCUUGCUGUCAUUCUUCUCUUGCCUGCCAUCAUGUGAGACAUGCCUUUCACCUUCCGCUGUGAUUGUGAGAUCUCCCCAGCCACAUGGAACUGUCUUUCGAUACUGGAAAAUGCUGUGAUUCUGUGGACGCCUGAAGGAGCAGCAGCCCCGGGUAUCUGAUAAUAUGACAGAAUGACAGCUAUUGACUAGAGAGCUUAAUCCGUACCUGUUUACAGAAACCACUAUGGUGUCGCCCUGUCGCUGUUUGAACAUCACUAUGCCAUGGACCCUGUUGGACUGAACAGAGGAGGAUGAAUGUGGAAAUAAAGACAAAAGAGUAUAUUUGGAAGAAGGGGUCAGGGGCACCUUGCUCUUUGUGAACAAAGGCCCUGAGCCUUGAGCUUCCUUUGUAUUUACUGAGAAGAGAUAGCAAGAAGGGGGUCGUUGUCGGUCUGCUGCUUGCUCCAGAGCAGCCUUCCAAGACUGCAUUCCUUGAACAAUAGAUUCUAGAUGUCCCAGUAGAUAACCUGAAGGAGCUCAGCGCCAGGGAGUGAUUGCCCUCAGCAAACCUUCUGGUGGCCAGCACAGAGGAGAGUUUGCCCCUGCUCUGUAUUCAUGAUAAACAGUUUGCUGUUUGAUCAUAUUGCCUCAGUGGAAAUUCUGAGUUGGUCAUGAUUCUCCAGCCUCUGGCUCUCUACACUGAAUGGAUUCAACAAGAAAGUGGUUGAAUUUAUGCAACUGUCUAGUUAUUUAUAAUGAAACAAGCAAAAAUUAGCCAUAAAGAAGUGAAUUGGGUGAUGAUUGUAUAAAAGAUGUGAGUCUAGGCCAGGCAUGGUGGCUCUCGCCUGUAAUCCCAGCAAUUU
RNAcentral lists this long non-coding RNA (922 nucleotides) under Homo sapiens (human). Its description in RNAcentral is "HSALNT0104844". The record is from RNAcentral. Lineage: Eukaryota; Metazoa; Chordata; Mammalia; Primates; Hominidae.